RNAcentral lists this ribosomal RNA (237 nucleotides) under uncultured bacterium. RNAcentral describes it as "partial 16S ribosomal RNA". It matches the Rfam family "Bacterial small subunit ribosomal RNA", at positions 28 to 248 of the family's 1533-position model. The record is from RNAcentral.
GACGAACGCUGGCGGCGUGGUUAAGACAUGCAAGUCGAACGGGACAUUAGGUGUAGCAAUACAUCUGAUGUUCAGUGGCGAACGGGUGCGUAACACGUGAACAAUCUACCUUUAAGUGUGGAAUAGCUCGCCGAAAGGCGAAUUAAUACCGCAUGUGGUGGCCUCUCUCCUGAGAGACCUACUAAAGUCGGGACGCAGGCCUGACGCUUGAAGAGGAGUUCGCGGCCUAUCAGCUUG